This 690-nucleotide unclassified non-coding RNA is filed under the name Hevea brasiliensis (rubber tree). The record is from RNAcentral. Lineage: Eukaryota; Viridiplantae; Streptophyta; Magnoliopsida; Malpighiales; Euphorbiaceae.
UUAUUUUAUUCAUAAAAAGGAAAUUUGUCACACAUUGGCAGAAUCUAGAAAUAAUGGUAUUGGCUACACAGCACAUAAACAAUGGAUUUAAAUGGAAUCAAAAUAUCAUCUUUUGCUCGAUAGUUCAUUUAGUGAAAAGCUUGAGCAUGCUACACUAACAGAAAAUAAAAUCAAAGAUACAUGUGCAUGGAGCGUCUUUGCCCAAAAUCAAAGAUAAUGUACCAUAAGCCAUUCUUCAGAUGAUUGCACAAAAUCAAGCUUACCCAGUGCAUUGCAUAUGAACCAUCAUCGAGAAAGAUUUAAUUUUCAAUAAUGCGCAAACAAACAUAAAUCACAGCGGAAUCCAAAAGCAGCGGAAUGAGAUUGGCUGAGAUGUGGUGGGUAAGGCCAACAUAGAGAUGUUGGUACUAACAAUUUUUAUACCGUGAUGAACAGAAGGAAGUUUUUGUUUUGUCAAAAUGCAAUUGGAGUGCAGAUUAGGUAUCUUUCUGUUUUCCAACGUCCAAAAAAUCAGAAUUAGAUAAAGAUGGAGAUUAGACAGCAUCUUCAACAAAGAGUUUAUCAGUUAUACAAGUCAGGCUUUAACGUCCAAAUAAUCAGAAUAAGAUAAAGAUGGAGAUUAGACAGCAUCUUCAACAAAGAGUUUAUCAGUUAUACAAGUCAGGCUUUAACGUCCAAAUAAUCAGAAUA